AGCGAACGCUGGCGGCAGGCUUAACACAUGCAAGUCGAGCGGGCCCUUCGGGGUCAGCGGCAGACGGGUGAGUAACGCGUGGGAACGUACCCUUUGGUUCGGAAUAACUCAGGGAAACUUGAGCUAAUACCGGAUACGCCCUUUUUGGGGAAAGGCUUGCUGCCGAAGGAUCGGCCCGCGUCUGAUUAGCUUGUUGGUGAGGUUAUGGCUCACCAAGGCGACGAUCAGUAGCUGGUCUGAGAGGAUGAUCAGCCACACUGGGACUGAGACACGGCCCAGACUCCUACGGGAGGCAGCAGUGGGGAAUAUUGGACAAUGGGGGCAACCCUGAUCCAGCCAUGCCGCGUGAGUGAUGACGGCCUUAGGGUUGUAAAGCUCUUUUCUCCGGGACGAUAAUGACGGUACCGGAGGAAUAAGCCCCGGCUAACUUCGUGCCAGCCGCCGCGGUAA
This 450-nucleotide ribosomal RNA is filed under the name uncultured bacterium. Its description in RNAcentral is "partial 16S ribosomal RNA". It matches the Rfam family "Bacterial small subunit ribosomal RNA", at positions 29 to 523 of the family's 1533-position model. The record is from RNAcentral.